This 397-nucleotide ribosomal RNA is filed under the name uncultured bacterium. RNAcentral describes it as "partial 16S ribosomal RNA". It matches the Rfam family "Bacterial small subunit ribosomal RNA", at positions 523 to 918 of the family's 1533-position model. The record is from RNAcentral.
AUACGUAGGUGGCAAGCGUUGUCCGGAUUUAUUGGGCGUAAAGCGAGCGCAGGCGGUUUCUUAAGUCUGAUGUGAAAGCCCCCGGCUCAACCGGGGAGGGUCAUUGGAAACUGGGAAACUUGAGUGCAGAAGAGGAGAGUGGAAUUCCAUGUGUAGCGGUGAAAUGCGUAGAUAUAUGGAGGAACACCAGUGGCGAAGGCGGCUCUCUGGUCUGUAACUGACGCUGAGGCUCGAAAGCGUGGGGAGCAAACAGGAUUAGAUACCCUGGUAGUCCACGCCGUAAACGAUGAGUGCUAAGUGUUGGAGGGUUUCCGCCCUUCAGUGCUGCAGCUAACGCAUUAAGCACUCCGCCUGGGGAGUACGACCGCAAGGUUGAAACUCAAAGGAAUUGACGGGG